Molecule: long non-coding RNA, 967 nt
Organism: Notolabrus celidotus (New Zealand spotty)
Lineage: Eukaryota; Metazoa; Chordata; Actinopteri; Labriformes; Labridae
Exons: 3
Source: RefSeq, a predicted model, not a curated record
UGUCUGCUUCUCUCAGCGCUCUGAGGUGAAGGCUUCUUCAUGAAUGAUUCAGUCUGCUUCAUGCAUCUACAACAUCCACUCGUGAAGAGCCCUGACCUGCACGUCUCUGGUGCAUUCCCAAUAGACAUGCCAGCUGCAUCACCUGUCUCUAAUCUAGGGUGUCAGGCUCGGCGUCCAUGCAGGUCUCCCAGGGAUUACGCGGCAUGUGGGGCAUGGAAAUGAGUAGCAGGGCAGCUCCACUGAGGAUGAGGAGAGUGAAGGAGGCGCAGGCGCAGAAAUGAUGAUGCAGAGACCUGCGUGCCAAAACAGAAAGAAAAGCAGAUGCUUCACUUCAGUGGAAGUGAUUGUGUUGACACAACAGUUUGAUCAUAUUUACACUCAUAGAUUCUCAGUUUAUUUAGCUUUGAAUCUGUGACAGUAGACGUGAAGCUGGAUGGGAAAUCAAACUAUCCAGAAUAAACACUUCAACAGAAUAAGUUCCAUAAUCUCCAGACGUGCAAUUACGGUAAUUUUGAUGAUUUGACAACAUCAUUUCUAACGAAUAAAAAAAACAACAUUUAAUCAAUUGAAAGCACAAUUAAAUUUCUGAAUUCAAUUUGAAUCCCUUCUCAUUUUGAUCUUGUUGUACAUAAUGUUUAAAAACAUCUCUCAUACUAACUUCAGUGCAUAAAACAAACUAUUAUGGAUGUUUGUGAAAUGCAUAUUAGCUGAACUUAACUGAAAUAGAAAUGAGCAAAGCUUCAGGGAAACAAACUGCUGCAGAAGGAAAGUUUACUAAAGUUACUAUAGACUAAAUUUACUCCCAAGAGUUAACUCAAAGUAGUUUUUUCUUAUGCCAAACAACUCAAGAAAAUGACUCUCGUUGAUGGCUAUUUUCAAGAGUCAGAAAAAGAAUCAAAAGUUGAAAUUUACAACCUCCAUGAUGCUCUCUGUCAAUAUAACUGCCAUUGCCUUUUAGGUAGGCGUA